Molecule: ribosomal RNA, 626 nt
Filed under: uncultured bacterium
Lineage: Bacteria
Description: bacterial SSU rRNA
Rfam family: Bacterial small subunit ribosomal RNA
Source: RNAcentral
UAGUGGGUGAGGUAACGGCUCACCAAGGCGACGAUCUCUAGCUGGUCUGAGAGGACGACCAGCCACACUGGAAUUGAGACACGGUCCAGACUCCUACGGGAGGCAGCAGUGGGGAAUAUUGCACAAUGGGGGAAACCCUGAUGCAGCCAUGCCGCGUGUGUGAAGAAGGCUUUCGGGUUGUAAAGCACUUUCAGUGGGGAGGAAGGGCUGAUGACUAAUAUUCAUCAGCAUUGACGUUACCCACAGAAGAAGCACCGGCUAACUCCGUGCCAGCAGCCGCGGUAAUACGGAGGGUGCAAGCGUUAAUCGGAAUAACUGGGCGUAAAGCGCACGCAGGCGGUUAGAUAAGUCAGAUGUGAAAGCCCCGGGCUCAACCUGGGAACUGCAUUUGAAACUGUCUGACUAGAGUCUUGUAGAGGGGGGUAGAAUUCCAGGUGUAGCGGUGAAAUGCGUAGAGAUCUGGAGGAAUACCGGUGGCGAAGGCGGCCCCCUGGACAAAGACUGACGCUCAGGUGCGAAAGCGUGGGUAGCAAACAGGAUUAGAUACCCUGGUAGUCCACGCUGUAAACGAUGUCGAUUUGGAGUUUGUGCCAUUAUGAGCGUGGGUUCCGAAGCUAACGCGAUAA